RNAcentral lists this ribosomal RNA (497 nucleotides) under uncultured bacterium. RNAcentral describes it as "partial 16S ribosomal RNA". It matches the Rfam family "Bacterial small subunit ribosomal RNA", at positions 28 to 507 of the family's 1533-position model. The record is from RNAcentral.
GAUGAACGCUGGCGGCGUGCCUAAUACAUGCAAGUCGAGCGAACAGAUGAGGAGCUUGCUCCUCUGACGUUAGCGGCGGACGGGUGAGUAACACGUGGAUAACCUACCUAUAAGACUGGGAUAACUUCGGGAAACCGGAGCUAAUACCGGAUAAUAUAUUGAACCGCAUGGUUCAAUAGUGAAAGACGGUUUUGCUGUCGCUUAUAGAUGGAUCCGCGCCGCAUUAGCUAGUUGGUAAGGUAACGGCUUACCAAGGCGACGAUGCGUAGCCGACCUGAGAGGGUGAUCGGCCACACUGGAACUGAGACACGGUCCAGACUCCUACGGGAGGCAGCAGUAGGGAAUCUUCCGCAAUGGGCGAAAGCCUGACGGAGCAACGCCGCGUGAGUGAUGAAGGUCUUCGGAUCGUAAAACUCUGUUAUUAGGGAAGAACAAAUGUGUAAGUAACUAUGCACGUCUUGACGGUACCUAAUCAGAAAGCCACGGCUAACUACGUG